This 425-nucleotide ribosomal RNA is filed under the name uncultured cyanobacterium. RNAcentral's name for it is "bacterial SSU rRNA". It matches the Rfam family "Bacterial small subunit ribosomal RNA", at positions 356 to 795 of the family's 1533-position model. Lineage: Bacteria; Bacillati; Cyanobacteriota. The record is from RNAcentral.
GGGGAAUUUUCCGCAAUGGGCGAAAGCCUGACGGAGCAAGACCGCGUGAGGGAGGAAGGCUCUUGGGUUGUAAACCUCUUUUCUUGGGGAAGAACAAAAUGACGGUACCCAAGGAAUCAGCAUCGGCUAACUCCGUGCCAGCAGCCGCGGUAAUACGGAGGAUGCAAGCGUUAUCCGGAAUUAUUGGGCGUAAAGCGUCCGCAGGUGGCACUUCAAGUCUGCUGUCAAAGACCGGGGCUUAACCCUGGAGAGGCAGUGGAAACUGAAGCGCUAGAGUGUCGUAGGGGUAGAGGGAAUUCCUGGUGUAGCGGUGAAAUGCGUAGAGAUCAGGAAGAACACCGGUGGCGAAGGCGCUCUACUAGGCCGCAACUGACACUGAGGGACGAAAGCUAGGGGAGCGAAUGGGAUUAGAUACCCCAGUAGUC